UACGUAUGGUGCAAGCGUUAUCCGGAUUUACUGGGUGUAAAGGGUGCGUAGGUGGUAAGGCAAGUCAGAAGUGAAAACACGGGGCUCAACCCCGUGACUGCUUUUGAAACUGUCUAACUAGAGUGCAGGAGAGGAAAGCGGAAUUCCUAGUGUAGCGGUGAGAUGCGUAGAUAUUAGGAGGAACACCGGUGGCGAAGGCGGCUUUCUGGACUGUAACUGACGUUGAGGCUCGAAAGCGUGGGGAGCAAAC
This 250-nucleotide ribosomal RNA is filed under the name uncultured prokaryote. Its description in RNAcentral is "partial 16S ribosomal RNA". It matches the Rfam family "Bacterial small subunit ribosomal RNA", at positions 524 to 773 of the family's 1533-position model. The record is from RNAcentral.